Sarcophilus harrisii (Tasmanian devil) is the source of this 2940-nucleotide long non-coding RNA. RefSeq lists it as uncharacterized. The record is from RefSeq and is a predicted model, not a curated record. The transcript is spliced from 4 exons. NCBI's taxonomy places the organism in Eukaryota, Metazoa, Chordata, Mammalia, Dasyuromorphia, Dasyuridae.
UUUACAUAGGUGUUUAUAUAUAUAUAUAUAUAUCAUCUAUAUGGAUAAAAUCAGGUUAGCAUGAUGUUACAGAUGACAUUGAAGGGGAAGAGUUCACAAAAUGUUAAACUAAGGAGAGAAAUAUGUGGAGGAGGAGGAGGAUAGAAUAGAUUCAUUUCUUUACCAUGGUGUUAAGUAUGCUGGGCUUCUGUCAGUGCAUUAGUGAAUUUAAAGUCUGAUCAAAUGUCAGCUAACUAAAAGCCUCCCUUUUUUUCCCACCCACCUGCUGGGGCAAACUCAAGGCUGAUCAUUCUGCUUUGCUGCUUCCUAACAAAUCUCGGAGAGUAUGUAUACCUAUGGUAGAUAGUGAUUUUAAUUUUUUGAAACCUGAAAUGUAAAGUAAGGUAUAAUUUGUGCUUAUGAGAAAUGAGAGAACUCAUUUCAUUUUAAGAUUAAACUCUGUCUCUUCCAGUACCCUUCCCAAAAUUUAAUUCUUUUCUGGAAGGUCCUGAUCUUGGGUCAACAAGAAUUUUAUUGAUAUUGGAGUAGAUGUUCUUUGUCAUGUAUUGUCUGUUGUCACUCCUAAUCCAAUAUGAAUGACCCACCAUCUUCCAUCAUCUGGUAGUAUCUUGUCUCUCAUCUUGACAAAUAGGUAUAAAUGAGGGUGUCAGAGGUGAAGAGAAAGUAAUUAUCUGGAAGAAUAUACUCAGUUUUAUUUUAAGAAAAAGAUCAUACCUAAACAUUUAGAAAAAGAUUCAAGAAAAUGGAAGAAAAAAACCAAAGGACAAAGUCCAAGCCACCAUCCUUUAGAGAUGAAUCUGACUAACUGGGCUCAGUUAUCAUUUACAUUUUUGAUGCAGUUUGAUGUUUCUCUCUUUGAAACUGUGAAGGCAGAAAGUGGAAAGAUAUAAAUAGGAAGUAAAAAAGAUAGAUGAUAUACCAAUGAAAAUCUGCAAAAAAGAUUAUAAAGCUCAGUAAUGGAACUCCUCAAAAAUUGAAUCUUGGUUAUUCAAACUUAGAUUAAAUUUUUUGUUCUCACAUGUUAAGUAGAACAACCUUUACAAGACUGUUAUCUGUAGUUGCUUUUAGGGCACUUAGCUUGCUUCAUAUACUUUUUUUUUAAUACUUGUGUUUUUCUCAGACUAGCCCAUGGAAAAUUUUAAUCCAUAAAUUCUAUAGCUUAACACAGAAGGCAGAAUGCUAUAGGAGAAGGCUAGCUGAGUUGGAAAAAGUGAGAUUGAGUCCUAGCUUUCACACUUAUUACCAACCAGAAGUCCUUCAAAUUACUAGAAAGUCAUUUUCUCUAAACCUGAGUUUCCUUAAAUAUAAAAGGAGGACACAAAUGCAUGUAUUAUCUGUGUCAGAGUUCUGGUGAAUUUUGCUAACUAAAAAGGGGGUUAUAUGUGUGUGAGCUGUUAUAAAAGAAUUAGCAAUAGAUUAUUCUAAUGCUCUAUUGAAGACUAAAAGACUUUCCACCAAGGAGAAAAUCAGAGUUGAGGAGAGAAAGAUCACUAUAGUCAGUAAAGUCAUGACAAUUAUAGAUAGGGUCAGUACUAACAUGUCAAGUUUGAGCUGGCAGAUAACUCUGAGCUAUGAUUUAUUAGGUAUGGAUAGAUCUCAUGCUCCCAAAUCUAUCUCUCCUCAGCCCACUACAAUUCCUAGAAUUCCAGCCAGUAUAAUCAUUUCUUUUUGAGUUAGAAUGUCUUUUUUUUUUUCCUCCAGAAAAGACUGUGAAAAGGUAAACAAUAUUAUCUAGCAGGAGUAAAAUAUAAGACUCUGAAAAUUGCUAAAAUUUUUAUCAAUGUACAUAUACACACUAUAUAUAUGUGUGUAUGAAAUUAGCUAGCUAUGUUAGAAAUCCAAUGACUUCAUUAAGAAUGUACAGUUAGUAAAUAUCAGAGCUAGGAUUUGAAACUAGGUCUUUUGAUUCCAAAUGAUUUGUGUUUCUAAUAUACCACACAUGCUAGAGAGCUUACUGUUGUACAGGGGAUGAAAAUAAAACAAAACUGGGGCUGAAUUAGUGUCUAUGGAAAAGAAAUUUACCUUUCAUGAUUACUUGUCUUUUCCUUCCCAUCUAUAAUAUUAGGAGCCCUAUCUUGGAAAAUCACAGUAUUUUCUAAGUAGUGUGUGUGCACAUGAGUGUGUGUUUAUGUGGGGUGUGUGUGUAUGUAAAAGAGAGAAAGAGAAAGAGAGAAAAGAAAAAGAACUAGAAGAAGACAAAGAAAAAGCAAGAAGAGGAGGAAGAGGAUUCCACCAAGGUGAUUUAUUUUUAAGAUGACUCCAUGAAUCCCUGUAAUCAAAAUUUCAUCAGUGGCGAUCCUUCCACACAUACAAACAUGUGAAAUCCAAGUAUUUUAUCUGGCAGCUAUGGAGGGAGGGGAAAAGAGGGAGAUGUCCCCUCAGUUUGGAAUGUUGAUAUUAAGAAGCUCUAAAGAUCCAUGGAAGAACUUGAAUCAACUAAUCCCAAUGGCAGAAAGGCAUGGCUGAUGCUGGAAAAAAGGAAAAUCCCAGUGAGGAGGUGCUUUCCCCAAUGAAGAUUCAAGACAUUUAGAUAUAUGUCUGUGGCACAAAGAAGGGUUUUGUGUCUUGCGCAGGAUCACAUAGCCAGCAUGCAUCAGAAGUGGGACUUGAACUCAUGUCUUCCUGACUCUAAAUUGGUUCAUUAGUCAUUGAACUAUGCUGCUUUUCAUGCUUAUAUAGCACAGUCACUGCCAUCCUGGGAGACCUUUGAAGCUAUAAAGGCAGAACAUGGAGAAUAUUUUCAGUGGAUUUUUUUUCUUUUAACAAUGGGGACAAAGUAUUUACUCCUAAUUAAAUUCAUUGCUUAUUUGAACAAGUGUAAUUUUAGAUAAAUCACUGUAUCUCAUUGUGUCUCAAUUAGUUUUCUCAUCAGUAAAAUCAAGGAAAUAGGCUGAAUUAUCUCUAAGUUUUCUUUUAGCUCUAAAUCUGAGAUCCUACAAG